Molecule: ribosomal RNA, 785 nt
Filed under: Escherichia coli
Lineage: Bacteria; Pseudomonadati; Pseudomonadota; Gammaproteobacteria; Enterobacterales; Enterobacteriaceae
Description: partial 23S ribosomal RNA
Rfam family: Bacterial large subunit ribosomal RNA
Source: RNAcentral
CGGGACACGUGGUAUCCUGUCUGAAUAUGGGGGGACCAUCCUCCAAGGCUAAAUACUCCUGACUGACCGAUAGUGAACCAGUACCGUGAGGGAAAGGCGAAAAGAACCCCGGCGAGGGGAGUGAAAAAGAACCUGAAACCGUGUACGUACAAGCAGUGGGAGCCUCUUUAUGGGGUGACUGCGUACCUUUUGUAUAAUGGGUCAGCGACUUAUAUUCUGUAGCAAGGUUAACCGAAUAGGGGAGCCGAAGGGAAACCGAGUCUUAACUGGGCGUUAAGUUGCAGGGUAUAGACCCGAAACCCGGUGAUCUAGCCAUGGGCAGGUUGAAGGUUGGGUAACACUAACUGGAGGACCGAACCGACUAAUGUUGAAAAAUUAGCGGAUGACUUGUGGCUGGGGGUGAAAGGCCAAUCAAACCGGGAGAUAGCUGGUUCUCCCCGAAAGCUAUUUAGGUAGCGCCUCGUGAAUUCAUCUCCGGGGGUAGAGCACUGUUUCGGCAAGGGGGUCAUCCCGACUUACCAACCCGAUGCAAACUGCGAAUACCGGAGAAUGUUAUCACGGGAGACACACGGCGGGUGCUAACGUCCGUCGUGAAGAGGGAAACAACCCAGACCGCCAGCUAAGGUCCCAAAGUCAUGGUUAAGUGGGAAACGAUGUGGGAAGGCCCAGACAGCCAGGAUGUUGGCUUAGAAGCAGCCAUCAUUUAAAGAAAGCGUAAUAGCUCACUGGUCGAGUCGGCCUGCGCGGAAGAUGUAACGGGGCUAAACCAUGCACCGAAGCUGCGG